UCAAAGGCUCUUUUCAGAGCCACCCACCGGUUCAAGGAAAGAGCGU
Molecule: regulatory RNA element, 46 nt
Organism: Loxodonta africana (African savanna elephant)
Lineage: Eukaryota; Metazoa; Chordata; Mammalia; Proboscidea; Elephantidae
Rfam family: Histone 3' UTR stem-loop
About the family: The mRNAs of metazoan histone genes lack a poly-A tail. 3' end processing occurs at a site between a highly conserved stem-loop (modelled by this family) and a purine rich region around 20 nts downstream (the histone downstream element, or HDE). The stem-loop is bound by a 31 kDa stem-loop binding protein (SLBP - also termed the histone hairpin binding protein, or HBP).
Source: Rfam